CUAUAAACCUAUUUACAUUCUUUCAUUCUGUCAUUCUGUCAUUCCGUCGCUGUUGACCUGUUCGUUUAAUCAUCUCUCCUACCUUUAUAGAAUCAAUUCCUCCAAGGAUAUCAGAUGACAUUGGAAUUAAAGAAUUAUGUUUUACCCUGGAUGCAUCACCAACACUUAUUAUUAUUCAAGGACCACAGAAACAUGUUAUUUUUUCAUAAAAUCUAUGAUAUGUUUCCUCAGAACUGAAGUAUAUAGU
Molecule: long non-coding RNA, 247 nt
Organism: Octopus sinensis (East Asian common octopus)
Lineage: Eukaryota; Metazoa; Mollusca; Cephalopoda; Octopoda; Octopodidae
Exons: 2
Source: RefSeq, a predicted model, not a curated record